This 76-nucleotide transfer RNA is filed under the name Acholeplasma hippikon. Its description in RNAcentral is "tRNA-His(gtg)". It matches the Rfam family "tRNA". Rfam says of the family: Transfer RNA (tRNA) molecules are approximately 80 nucleotides in length. Their secondary structure includes four short double-helical elements and three loops (D, anti-codon, and T loops). Further hydrogen bonds mediate the characteristic L-shaped molecular structure. tRNAs have two regions of fundamental functional importance: the anti-codon, which is responsible for specific mRNA codon recognition, and the 3' end, to which the tRNAs corresponding amino acid is attached (by aminoacyl-tRNA synthetases). tRNAs cope with the degeneracy of the genetic code in two manners: having more than one tRNA (with a specific anti-codon) for a particular amino acid; and 'wobble' base-pairing, i.e. permitting non-standard base-pairing at the 3rd anti-codon position. Lineage: Bacteria; Bacillati; Mycoplasmatota; Mollicutes; Acholeplasmatales; Acholeplasmataceae. The record is from RNAcentral.
GCGGUCGUGGCGAAGUGGUUAACGCAUCUGCUUGUGGCGCAGACACUCGAGGGUUCGAUUCCCUUCGGCCGCCCCA